This 633-nucleotide long non-coding RNA is filed under the name Cyanistes caeruleus (blue tit). RNAcentral describes it as "lncRNA (ENSCCEG00000003274.1)". The record is from RNAcentral. Lineage: Eukaryota; Metazoa; Chordata; Aves; Passeriformes; Paridae.
AGGAGGAGGGAGAGGAGGAAGGGAGGAAGCGCAACCGAGCCUCGUGGAUUGACCCGCCCGAGGAGGAUUACUCCACGCAGCUGACCCAGGCCGAGGUGGAGAGCUGCAUGAAGAAGUACGAGGACACCUUCCAGGACUACCAGGAGAUGUUCAUCCAGUUUGGCUACGUGGUGCUCUUCUCCUCGGCCUUCCCGCUGGCCGCCAUGUGCGCCCUGGUCAACAACGUCAUCGAGAUCCGCAGCGACGCCUUCAAGCUCUGCACGGGGCUGCAGAGACCCUUCGGCCAGCGCGUGGAGAGCAUCGGCCAGUGGCAGGUGGGCUCCUGCUCCUGCUCCUGGUUCUGACCCUGGUCCUGGUCCUGGUUCUGGUUCUGACCCUGGUAAUGGUCCUGGUUCUGGUUCUGACCUUGGUUCUGGUCCUGGUUCUGGUGCUGGUGCUAGUUCUGGUCCUGGUUCUGACCCUGGUAAUGGUCCUGGUUCUGGUUCUGACCCUGGUAAUGGUCCUGGUGCUGGUGCUGGUUCUGGUUCUGGUCCUGGUAAUGGUCCUGGUUCUGGUUCUGGUUCUGACCCUGGUAAUAGUCCUGGUUCUGGUCCUGAUCCUGGUCCUGAUCCUGAUCUUGGUCCUGAUCCUGGU